Molecule: non-coding RNA, 246 nt
Organism: Pelobates cultripes (western spadefoot toad)
Lineage: Eukaryota; Metazoa; Chordata; Amphibia; Anura; Pelobatidae
Source: the annotation of a GenBank genome assembly
CUUCUCCAUGAUUACUCAGUUCUUGGAAGAGACUUGGUUGUUCCAAACCUCUUCCAUUUAAGAAUUAUGGAGGCCAUUGUGGUCUUGAAAACCUUAAUGCAUUUAAAUUUUUCUAGUCUUACCCAUAUAUGUGCUACGACACCAUGCUGUCAAAGUGCUCUGCAAGCAGCUCCUUUACAUCAUGGCUUUGUUUUUGAUCUGAUAUGCAUUUACAGCUGUGAGACUUUAUAUGGUCCUCGAUUUAAU